Molecule: ribosomal RNA, 226 nt
Filed under: uncultured bacterium
Lineage: Bacteria
Description: partial 16S ribosomal RNA
Rfam family: Bacterial small subunit ribosomal RNA
Source: RNAcentral
GCGUUAAUCGGAAUUACUGGGCGUAAAGGGCGCGUAGGCGGUGAAGUAAGUCGGGUGUGAAAGCCCCGGGCUCAACCUGGGAACUGCAUCCGAUACUGCUUCGCUAGAGUAUGGUAGAGGGAAGCGGAAUUCCGGGUGUAGCGGUGAAAUGCGUAGAUAUCCGGAGGAACACCAGUGGCGAAGGCGGCUUCCUGGACCAAUACUGACGCUGAGGCGCGAAAGCGUG